This 777-nucleotide small RNA is filed under the name Drosophila ananassae. RNAcentral describes it as "GF27514". The record is from RNAcentral. Lineage: Eukaryota; Metazoa; Arthropoda; Insecta; Diptera; Drosophilidae.
GAAGGAUAUUAAUCCUAAAUAAAUAUAAUUUUUUGGGGAAUUUCACAAGGUUAUACUGUCAUAUUCCUCUCAAAACUAACACAAUAUUCCGUAAAAACCGUGUUCCAGGAGACACCUAUAACCGACUUGCAGCCCCAUUUUUUGUGCAAUUUGAAGAGUGGUUCGUCAGAAAGUGUCCAAUGUUUAUGAAGCAAACUGGGCACAAUUACUGGGCAACCCCAAUUUUCUCAACGUUUUGCUUGCAAAAUUCGCUUACGACCGCAGUUGGCUUUGCGUUUUACGUUCGAAAGGAUUAAGACUGAAAACCGGUUCGGCCCUGGGAUCCCCGCCUGGCACAGAAAACUGAAAACACAAAAGGGCUUAGCCGCCGGCUGGUCAGCGAGCGCUACUCUGUGGGUGGUUAGCAGUGAUUUACACUCGGGGGUGGCAAGAACCCCGUAUUGGAAACCACCUACCCAUUCUUAUCUUUCACUUCCCACUUCAUGCAAAUGGCCAAACAUUAAGGCAACACUCGAGUUGUGUCUACAAACAGUGGCGGUCAGGAUAAUAGUGCUCCAAGCGUCUACCCUUCAAGAAUCCCAUCAAGAAUAGUACUAACCGAUAAAAUGGAUAUCCUACUACUGCUGAUCCUGAUGAAGAAACUCUGCAUCCUGCAAUCCAAGAUGAUUGUCAAAUUUUUAUCCCGUUCACACCUCAGACUCUUUUAAAGAGUAUUUAUACUUAUAUACUGACAUGUCCCUCGAUCGUAUCCAAUAAAUAUUAAUGUGUUGACCGUAA